AAAUCCUGGGUGGGGACAGGGAGCACCCCAAAUCCUGGGUGGGGACAGGGAGCAUCCCAAAUCCUGAGAUGGGGACAUGUGGUGACUGCAGGCACACUGGCCAUUCCCACAGGACCCCCCAGGCGGAUGUGGGUCCCCCCCAGCAGGGCGUUUGCAGCCGCUGUCCCCGGUGUGUGGCCCAGAGCCCCGUCCAGCCCUGCCCUGCUGUCACUCCCGUCGCCCACGGGGCAGCGGCCGUGCCGGAGCGCGGCCCCGCGCAGGCACACCGGGGAUCCCCGGGGCUCACCCGUGCGUCCCGCUGUCCGUCUGUCCCCAGGGCUCGGCUACCCCCUGUUCCCCGCCGCCAGCCUGGGCCGCGCCCUGGCCACCAAGACGCCGCCGCCACUGUUCCUGGGGACCGAGGGCCGGCGCGGGGACAGCCAGGGCGGCCUGGCCGGCGGCCGGAGCGCCGGCACCGCGGCGCGGCCGCUGUACCCCGCCCUGCAGACGCUGAGCCCGGGCAGCUCCGGCCUCCCGAGCCACGGCCUGGCCGGAUUCCCCUUCCUCAGCCCGGCCCUGGCGGAUUUUGGGCCUGGGGAGGUCCCGGCGCCCCCCGGAUUCCUGCAGCCCCCCCAGGCCUGGCAGCACCCCCGGGACGUGGCAGUGCUGGGGGCCAGCAGCCGGAUGGUCCCCGCGGAGGAGCCAG
RNAcentral lists this long non-coding RNA (685 nucleotides) under Junco hyemalis (dark-eyed junco). Its description in RNAcentral is "lncRNA (ENSJHYG00000005514.1)". The record is from RNAcentral. Lineage: Eukaryota; Metazoa; Chordata; Aves; Passeriformes; Passerellidae.